This 463-nucleotide ribosomal RNA is filed under the name uncultured bacterium. RNAcentral describes it as "bacterial SSU rRNA". It matches the Rfam family "Bacterial small subunit ribosomal RNA", at positions 28 to 496 of the family's 1533-position model. The record is from RNAcentral.
GAUGAACGCUGGCGGCGUGCUUAACACAUGCAAGUCGAACGGGAUCGGCUGGAGCUUGCUUCGGCCGUGAGAGUGGCGAACGGGUGAGUAAUGCGUGACCGACCUGCCCCAUACACCGGAAUAGCUCCUGGAAACGGGUGGUAAUGCCGGAUGCUCCAGUUGGAUGCAUGUCCUUCUGGGAAAGAUUCUAUCGGUAUGGGAUGGGGUCGCGUCCUAUCAGGUAGUCGGCGGGGUAACGGCCCACCGAGCCUACGACGGGUAGCCGGCCUGAGAGGGCGACCGGCCACAUUGGGACUGAGAUACGGCCCAGACUCCUACGGGAGGCAGCAGUGGGGAAUAUUGCACAAUGGGCGCAAGCCUGAUGCAGCGACGCCGCGUGCGGGAUGACGGCCUUCGGGUUGUAAACCGCUUUUGACUGGGAGCAAGCCCUUCGGGGUGAGUGUACCUUUCGAAUAAGCACCGG